UGGAGGGCAAGUCUGGUGCCAGCAGCCGCGGUAAUUCCAGCUCCAAUAGCGUAUAUUAAAGUUGUUGCAGUUAAAAAGCUCGUAGUUGAACCUUGGGCCUGGCUGGCCGGUCCGCCUCACCGCGUGCACUGGUUCGGCCGGGCCUUUCCCUCUGGGGAACCCUAUGGUCUUCACUGAUCGUAGCGGGGAACCAGGACUUUUACUGUAAAAAAAUUAGAGUGUUCAAAGCAGGCCUAUGCUCGAAUACAUUAGCAUGGAAUAAUAAAAUAGGACGUGUGGUUCUAUUUUGUUGGUUUCUAGGACCGCCGUAAUGAUUAAUAGGGACAGUCGGGGGCAUCAGUAUUCAAUUGUCAGAGGUGAAAUUCUUGGAUUUAUUGAAGACUAACUACUGCGAAAGCAUUUGCCAAGGAUGUUUUCAUUAAUCAGGAACGAAAGUUAGGGGAUCGAAGACGAUCAGAUACCGUCGUAGUCUUAACCAUAAACUAUGCCGACUAGGGAUCGGACGGUGUUAUUUUUGACCCGUUCGGCACCUUACGGGAAAC
Molecule: ribosomal RNA, 542 nt
Filed under: uncultured Pestalotiopsis
Lineage: Eukaryota; Fungi; Ascomycota; Sordariomycetes; Amphisphaeriales; Amphisphaeriaceae
Description: SSU rRNA
Rfam family: Eukaryotic small subunit ribosomal RNA
Source: RNAcentral